Molecule: non-coding RNA, 905 nt
Organism: Cricetulus griseus (Chinese hamster)
Lineage: Eukaryota; Metazoa; Chordata; Mammalia; Rodentia; Cricetidae
Source: RefSeq, a predicted model, not a curated record
CUCCCGUUCACGUGACGCCCUUAUUCAGGUGAUCUCCGCCCAGCCCCGGGUCACGUGAGCGCCGCACCCGCGCGGGACAGGAAGUGUUGCGGGCCGGGCGCGAGCGCCAGGAUAAUCAGUACAUUUGCACAGGCCACAUGUGUCAUUAAUCAGCUGCAAAUACUCCCCUCGUGGCAGAUAGCACUCUUGCCUUUAGUUCGCCUGUUAAAGGAACCUAUCGUUAAGCUUUCUAGCUUUCCAAGGACAAUGUGAAGUGGAUCUCCUGCAGUGCCGUGCACACCCAUACAUACCAUGUGUGCUAGUCAUCUGUUCCAGACUCAAUGCUACCCAGUGGCUGUUGUGUGACUUUUCCUGAGGAGAUGUGAGCAAAUGCCAACUCACCCCAUAUAGUGCCAGAGGACAGACCAAAGACAUUAUUCCACCUGAGUCCCUCUUGGAGAGCCAGUGACUUUAUAGCAGGGUUACCCACAGUAAGAGAGUCAAAGGGAGAGUCAAGCAGCUGUAUCACCAAGCUCACUCCAACAUGAAAGCCCUGGAUCUACGGGAACAACAUGGAGGCAGCCCCACUGGACGACCCUCUUCCUGAGUCUGCCCCACUGCUCGGAGGACCUGGGGGGGGGUGGCUUAUGAACUGGCAAGGACCUGAGCUUCCUGGAUCUUAGGAGGCCCCCUCCUUCUUCUAAGAGGGAGUGUGUCAAUGGAAGAAACUCACUGACAGCUGUGUCUACAGUGUCUACUGCAACCACAGACCAGCUCCAGCACAGCUGAUGCAAGGCACUUCUGAAGUUCCACAAUGGGCUGAGCUACAGCUUCCUGUGAUCUGAGCCCCUUCUAAACUGUGCAUUCCUGGGCCACCUCUCUGAGCUGUAUCGGGGACCCACAUAAAUCUCCUUUGUAUCUUCAUA